UGCGGUACUUGUCUUUCUGUGUCUGGCCU
Molecule: non-coding RNA, 29 nt
Filed under: Mus musculus (house mouse)
Lineage: Eukaryota; Metazoa; Chordata; Mammalia; Rodentia; Muridae
Source: RNAcentral